AUUGAACGCUGGCGGCAUGCCUUACACAUGCAAGUCGAACGGCAGCAUGAUCUAGCUUGCUAGAUUGAUGGCGAGUGGCGAACGGGUGAGUAAUACAUCGGAACGUGCCCUGUAGUGGGGGAUAACUAGUCGAAAGAUUAGCUAAUACCGCAUACGACCUGAGGGUGAAAGUGGGGGACCGCAAGGCCUCAUGCUAUAGGAGCGGCCGAUGUCUGAUUAGCUAGUUGGUGAGGUAAAGGCUCACCAAGCCGACGAUCUGUAGCUGGUCUGAGAGGACGACCAGCCACACUGGGACUGAGACACGGCCCAGACUCCUACGGGAGGCAGCAGUGGGAAUUUUGGACAAUGGGCGCAAGCCUGAUCCAGCAAUGCGCGUGCAGGAUGAAGGCCUU
Molecule: ribosomal RNA, 392 nt
Filed under: uncultured bacterium
Lineage: Bacteria
Description: bacterial SSU rRNA
Rfam family: Bacterial small subunit ribosomal RNA
Source: RNAcentral